This 27-nucleotide non-coding RNA is filed under the name Mus musculus (house mouse). The record is from RNAcentral. Lineage: Eukaryota; Metazoa; Chordata; Mammalia; Rodentia; Muridae.
UGAAGUUAACAGCCCAAGACCAAGAAU